AUUGAACGCUGGCGGCAGGCCUAACACAUGCAAGUCGAACGGUAACAGGAAGACGCUUGCUUCUUUGCUGACGAGUGGCGGACGGGUGAGUAAUGUCUGGGAAACUGCCUGAUGGAGGGGGAUAACUACUGGAAACGGUAGCUAAUACCGCAUAACGUCGCAAGACCAAAGAGGGGGACCUUCGGGCCUCUUGCCAUCGGAUGCGCCCAGAUGGGUUUAGCUAGUAGGUGGGGUAACGGCUCACCUAGGCGGCGAUCCCUAGCUGGUCUGAGAGGAUGACCAGCCACACUGGAACGGAGACACGGUCCAGACUCCUACGGGAGGCAGCAGUGGGGAAUAUUGCACAAUGGGCGCAAGCCUGAUGCAGCCAUGCCGCGUGUAUGAAGAAGGCCUUCGGGUUGUAAAGUACUUUCAGCGGUGAGGAAGGGAGUAAAGUUAAUACCUUGGCUCAUUGACGUUACCCGAAGAAGAAGCACCGGCUAACUCCGUG
RNAcentral lists this ribosomal RNA (490 nucleotides) under uncultured bacterium. RNAcentral's name for it is "partial 16S ribosomal RNA". It matches the Rfam family "Bacterial small subunit ribosomal RNA", at positions 30 to 507 of the family's 1533-position model. The record is from RNAcentral.